Coturnix japonica (Japanese quail) is the source of this 1219-nucleotide long non-coding RNA. RefSeq lists it as uncharacterized. NCBI's taxonomy places the organism in Eukaryota, Metazoa, Chordata, Aves, Galliformes, Phasianidae. The record is from RefSeq and is a predicted model, not a curated record.
ACUGAUAUCAUCUACCUGGACAUCUGCAAGGCCUUUCAGAGGGGCAGACCUGUAGGAUGAAGGCUGUGUGUGUGUUUGAGGGUGAUCUCCUAGGAGAUUUUCCCCAGGCUUGGGUGUUGCCCAAGGAAAUAUGAGCUGAUAUCUGCACUGCUUCACUCCCGAGCUCAUCAUCAGGGAGGGCUCUCCUGAGCAAACUUCUCAGGUCAAAAAAGGAAUUUCUGGUCAAAACCAUAGCGGGAAAGAACACACAGGAAGCCAGGCUGUGAUCCGAGCCCAGCAGAGCGUCCCAUAUUCCAGCGAUGGAGCCAGCAGCUGCCCUGCCACGCAGCCACCCCUCAACUGGCCGCCCACACCCUGUGCACCAGGAGCAUCCCCAAGCAGCAGAGGAUCCACUGCUGCAAUGUGAUCUGAGAGAAGAUGCCCAGUCCCACCCACCUUCCCUUUUAUACUGGCAAACUGCUUUUAGGUAAAGCAUCAGUUGUGCUUUAGCAUUGCCCUCCAUCCACGUGGCACAGCUCAGCCAGGAAGCGGGAUGUGGGACGUGGUUGUGACCUGCUCCUCAGUUCACCGCAGUAAGGAUAAGUCACAAGCGCUGCAGCUCCUUCACCGCAGCAGAAGAAGAAUUGAACGUUGUCAGAAAGGAUCAAAAUCAGGCCUGGCACAUGUGUUUGUGCGUGUGUGUGUGUGUGGUUUCACAACACCUCCCUCUCCACCCCGGCAGCCACACCAGUUUCCUCAAAGAAAAGCAGAACAGUGAAGCAUAGACCCAAUGCUCUGCCGUGAUGUAUUAGAGCCUUGUUUUUCCCACUGCUUGAAGAACUGACCCAGCCCCCUCAAAUGUUCCCAGCAUAUUUGGAUUGUGAGUCAGAGACCACAAUGGAGAUACUUGCCUGGCUUGACAAAGUUUAAGCAUCUCCUGCCAAGUAGUAAUCGCUGAUUUUUGCUCCGUCACUCAUAAGCCCUGCUCCUGCUGCCCUACCCAUGCAAACACAUGGUCUCAUUCAGAAAGCAAGGGCUGCCUCUCGGCUGCUUAUCUGCAGCAUCUGCAGCUCUCGUGCAGAGCAAGAUGGGAACCUGCAGGUAUCCGUGGUCAAAACAAGGGAGAGGGCACACUGAAAGAACAGCAGCAAUACUGAAAAGAGAGGAAAGCAGGAAGGGCUUCAUCUUGGCAGUCAGGGUCUAACAUUCAAAAUAAAGUCAAUACAGAGAUUUCCAUGCA